GACAGAGGUCUCGAGCGUUAGGCGGAAUCACUGGGCUUAAAGCGUGUGUAGGCGGAUGUCUAAGUACCUUGUGAAAUCCCACAGCUUAACUGUGGAAUUGCUUGGUAUACUGGAUGUCUUGAGCCAGCUAGGGGCAACCGGAACAAAUGGUGGAGCGGUGAAAUGCGUAGAUAUCGCUUGGAACGCCGGCGGUGAAAACGGACAGCUGGGGGUUUGCCGACGCUGAGACACGAAAGCCAGGGGAGCGAACGGG
Molecule: ribosomal RNA, 253 nt
Filed under: uncultured bacterium
Lineage: Bacteria
Description: partial 16S ribosomal RNA
Rfam family: Bacterial small subunit ribosomal RNA
Source: RNAcentral